UGGGGAAUUUUGGACAAUGGGGGCAACCCUGAUCCAGCAAUGCCGCGUGUGUGAAGAAGGCCUUCGGGUUGUAAAGCACUUUUGUCCGGGAAGAAAUCGCACCUGAUAAUACCGGGUGUGGAUGACGGUACCGGAAGAAUAAGGACCGGCUAACUACGUGCCAGCAGCCGCGGUAAUACGUAGGGUCCAAGCGUUAAUCGGAAUCACUGGGCGUAAAGCGUGCGCAGGCGGUUGUGCAAGACCGAUGUGAAAUCCCCGGGCUUAACCUGGGAAUUGCAUUGGUGACUGCACGGCUAGAGUGUGUCAGAGGGGGGUAGAAUUCCACGUGUAGCAGCGAAAUGCGUAGAGAUGUGGAGGAAUACCGAUGGCGAAGGCAGCCCCCUGGGAUAACACUGACGCUCAUGCACGAAAGCGUGGGGAGCAAACAGG
This 429-nucleotide ribosomal RNA is filed under the name bacterium. Its description in RNAcentral is "partial 16S ribosomal RNA". It matches the Rfam family "Bacterial small subunit ribosomal RNA", at positions 355 to 776 of the family's 1533-position model. The record is from RNAcentral.